RNAcentral lists this transfer RNA (91 nucleotides) under Candidatus Didemnitutus sp. RNAcentral's name for it is "tRNA-Ser". It matches the Rfam family "tRNA". Rfam says of the family: Transfer RNA (tRNA) molecules are approximately 80 nucleotides in length. Their secondary structure includes four short double-helical elements and three loops (D, anti-codon, and T loops). Further hydrogen bonds mediate the characteristic L-shaped molecular structure. tRNAs have two regions of fundamental functional importance: the anti-codon, which is responsible for specific mRNA codon recognition, and the 3' end, to which the tRNAs corresponding amino acid is attached (by aminoacyl-tRNA synthetases). tRNAs cope with the degeneracy of the genetic code in two manners: having more than one tRNA (with a specific anti-codon) for a particular amino acid; and 'wobble' base-pairing, i.e. permitting non-standard base-pairing at the 3rd anti-codon position. Lineage: Bacteria; Pseudomonadati; Verrucomicrobiota; Opitutia; Opitutales; Opitutaceae. The record is from RNAcentral.
GGAGAGAUGGCCGAGUGGUCGAAGGCACACCUUUGCUAAAGGUGCAGACCCCAAAAGGGUCUCGAGGGUUCGAAUCCCUCUCUCUCCGCCA